UGUGGCUCAGUGGUAGAGCGCUUGCCUAGCAUGUAUGAGGCACUGGGUUCGAUCCUCAGCA
Molecule: transfer RNA, 61 nt
Filed under: Ictidomys tridecemlineatus (thirteen-lined ground squirrel)
Lineage: Eukaryota; Metazoa; Chordata; Mammalia; Rodentia; Sciuridae
Description: Spermophilus tridecemlineatus (thirteen-lined ground squirrel) tRNA
Rfam family: tRNA
About the family: Transfer RNA (tRNA) molecules are approximately 80 nucleotides in length. Their secondary structure includes four short double-helical elements and three loops (D, anti-codon, and T loops).
Source: Rfam by way of RNAcentral